GAUGAACGCUGGCGGCGUGCCUAAUACAUGCAAGUCGAGCGAACAGAUGAGGAGCUUGCUCCUCUGACGUUAGCGGCGGACGGGUGAGUAACACGUGGAUAACCUACCUAUAAGACUGGGAUAACUUCGGGAAACCGGAGCUAAUACCGGAUAAUAUAUUGAACCGCAUGGUUCAAUAGUGAAAGACGGUUUUGCUGUCACUUAUAGAUGGAUCCGCGCCGCAUUAGCUAGUUGGUAAGGUAACGGCUUACCAAGGCAACGAUGCGUAGCCGACGUGAGAGGGGGAUCGCCGACACUGGAACUGAGACAGGGUCCAGGCGCCUACGGGAGGCAGCAGUAGGGAAUCUUCCGCAAUGGGCGAAAGCCUGACGGAGCAACGCCGCGUGAGUGAUGAAGGUGUUCGGAUCGUAAAAAUCUGUUAUUAGUGAAGAACAAAUGUGUAAGUAACUAUGCACGUAUUGACGGUACCUAAUCAGAAAGCAACGGCUAACUACGUG
This 497-nucleotide ribosomal RNA is filed under the name uncultured bacterium. RNAcentral's name for it is "partial 16S ribosomal RNA". It matches the Rfam family "Bacterial small subunit ribosomal RNA", at positions 28 to 507 of the family's 1533-position model. The record is from RNAcentral.